CAGGUUUUGGACGAGAUGGGCCGAAUUCUAGAGGCAGGCAACAAGAACUUCACUGACCAGAUCAAAGCCAGAUGGGAAAGCUUUUCUUUGGAGUGUGGAACAAGUCGUUGAAGCCACCAAUGGGUCUGGAUACAUCUGGACAAGCGAUUGCUUUCAUGAAGGCACUUCCCUCAAUGUUUCCUUCCCCAACUGCCCCACCCAAAAAGCUUGGGUCAGCAAGUGAGGCACUGUUCCAUGUUCUUGAGCCAUCCGAGGACCCCAAUACAUUUCUCCAGAAACGGCCCAUCACCAGUCCAGUCAUCUUGGUAGACUCGAGGUGUGUGUGGUACAGUGUGUAGGUGUGUGUGUGUGGUACAGUGUGUAGGUGUGUGUGUGGUACAGUG
Molecule: long non-coding RNA, 383 nt
Organism: Gymnodraco acuticeps
Lineage: Eukaryota; Metazoa; Chordata; Actinopteri; Perciformes; Bathydraconidae
Exons: 3
Source: RefSeq, a predicted model, not a curated record